RNAcentral lists this ribosomal RNA (432 nucleotides) under uncultured bacterium. RNAcentral's name for it is "bacterial SSU rRNA". It matches the Rfam family "Bacterial small subunit ribosomal RNA", at positions 96 to 524 of the family's 1533-position model. The record is from RNAcentral.
UGGCGGACGGGUGAGUAAUACUUGGGAAUCUGCCCAGUAGUGGGGGACAACAUUCGGAAACGGAUGCUAAUACCGCAUACGCACUACGGUGGAAAGUGGGGGAUCUUCGGACCUCACGCUAUUGGAUGAGCCCAAGUCGGAUUAGCUUGUAGGUAGGGUAACGGCCUACCUAGGCGACGAUCCGUAGCUGGUCUGAGAGGACGAUCAGCCACACUGGGACUGAGACACGGCCCAGACUCCUACGGGAGGCAGCAGUGGGGAAUAUUGGACAAUGGGCGCAAGCCUGAUCCAGCAAUGCCGCGUGUGUGAAGAAGGCCUGCGGGUUGUAAAGCACUUUCAGUAGAGAAGAAAAGCCCUAGGUUAAUACCCCUGAGUCUUGACGUAACCUACAGAAGAAGCACCGGCUAACUCCGUGCCAGCAGCCGCGGUAAU